GCGUGGGUGAAGAAGGUCUUCGGAUUGUAAAGCCCUUUCGGCGGGGACGAUGAUGACGGUACCCGCAGAAGAAGCCCCGGCUAACUUCGUGCCAGCAGCCGCGGUAAUACGAAGGGGGCUAGCGUUGCUCGGAAUGACUGGGCGUAAAGGGCGCGUAGGCGGAUGACAUAGUCAGGCGUGAAAUUCCUGGGCUCAACCUGGGGGCUGCGCAUGAUACGUGUCGUCUUGAGUGAGGAAGAGGGUCGUGGAAUUCCCAGUGUAGAGGUGAAAUUCGU
Molecule: ribosomal RNA, 275 nt
Filed under: uncultured bacterium
Lineage: Bacteria
Description: partial 16S ribosomal RNA
Rfam family: Bacterial small subunit ribosomal RNA
Source: RNAcentral